This 365-nucleotide long non-coding RNA is filed under the name Felis catus (domestic cat). RNAcentral describes it as "lncRNA (ENSFCAG00000044779.2)". Lineage: Eukaryota; Metazoa; Chordata; Mammalia; Carnivora; Felidae. The record is from RNAcentral.
UUAACUGACUGAGCCACGCCGGCACCCCAUAAACUGCUCACAAAUUUUUAAAACUCAUCUAUCCUUUAAAGGAUACUGCAUCAGAAAACAUCAAAAGAAGUAAUUACGGUGCACACACCAGUGAAUGCUGCUGGUACUCUGCCCAGAUCCCCUUGCCCAGCAGCAGGCACAGGGCCAAGCUGGACCAAUCGACCCUUCCUCACAGAUGCUGUGAAGAAAGACUCAUGGGGCAAAACUGGAGGCAUCUGAAGAGCGUCUCUUGGGGCCAAGACCCACAUGUCCCGGCAAGUUCCUAUUCCUCUUCUCUAUUCUCAGUUUCUGUGAUUAAUACCAUCUUCCCAAUAAAAUAUAUUUUCAUGUUAAUA